Molecule: ribosomal RNA, 827 nt
Filed under: Toxoplasma gondii ARI
Lineage: Eukaryota; Apicomplexa; Conoidasida; Eucoccidiorida; Sarcocystidae
Description: LSU rRNA
Rfam family: Bacterial large subunit ribosomal RNA
Source: RNAcentral
AAAUAAAAAUUUUAAAUUAUAGGAAAAAAAGGAUGUCUAGGUACUUUAAGACGAUGAAGGACGUAAAAAAUAUAUAUAUAUACGAAAAACUUAUUUAUAGCUUAUAUACUUUAAAUAAGAUCUCCGAAUAGGGAAACCUUUUAAUAUUUUUUAAAUUAAAAAUGAUUUACUUGAGGAACUGAAUCAUCUUAGUACUCAAAGGAAAAGAAAAUAACAAUUAUUCCCUUAGUAGUGGCGAACGAGUAGGGAUAAGAAACGUUAGACGUUUAGUUUAAAUAAAAAUAAAAUAAAGUAAAUAUAAACAACUGGUUUAUAUUGAAGAAACAAGAACUUCCUUGUAAAACUAAAUACUUUAAAGUAACCGAUAGUGUACUAGUACCGUGAGGGAAAGAUGAAAAGAACCCCGGGAGGGGAGUGAAAAGAGACUGAAAUUUUAAUCCUAACAACAAUAGAAGGGUAUAUGAACCUAACUAUUUGCCUGUUGAAGAAGGAACCGAUAAGUUUUGGUUUUUAAGCAAAAGGCUAAAAUUAAACUUGAAGCCAUAGUGAAAACGAGUUAUUACAAUUAGUAAUAGCGUUUGUAUAUAACCAAAAACCCGAAUCCAAUUGAUAUAACCUUGUUCAGAAUGAAAUAUAAAUAACUUUAUAUAGAAGUUCGAACUGAUUAAUGCUGCAAAAUUAUCAGAAGAAAUGAGGUUAGUUGUGAAAUGCUUGUCGAAUUUGGAGCUAGCUGGUUCUCCCCGAAAUGUAUUGAGGCGCAGCUAUUAUAAUAUAUAUAAAAAGGGUAAAGCACUGUUUUUAAAAUCACUAUAAACUAAUAAUAUUUU